Molecule: ribosomal RNA, 429 nt
Filed under: Chloroflexota bacterium
Lineage: Bacteria; Bacillati; Chloroflexota
Description: Chloroflexi bacterium partial 16S ribosomal RNA
Rfam family: Bacterial small subunit ribosomal RNA
Source: RNAcentral
UGGGGAAUAUUGCACAAUGGGCGCAAGCCUGAUGCAGCCAUGCCGCGUGUAUGAAGAAGGCCUUCGGGUUGUAAAGUACUUUCAGUCGGGAGGAAGGUGGUAAGGUUAAUAACCUUAUCAAUUGACGUUACCGACAGAAGAAGCACCGGCUAACUCCGUGCCAGCAGCCGCGGUAAUACGGAGGGUGCAAGCGUUAAUCGGAAUUACUGGGCGUAAAGCGCACGCAGGCGGUUGAUUGAGUCAGAUGUGAAAUCCCCGGGCUUAACCCGGGAAUUGCAUCUGAAACUGGUCAGCUAGAGUCUUGUAGAGGGAGGUAGAAUUCCAUGUGUAGCGGUGAAAUGCGUAGAGAUGUGGAGGAAUACCAGUGGCGAAGGCGGCCCCCUGGACAAAGACUGACGCUCAGGUGCGAAAGCGUGGGGAGCAAACAGG